ACUAGUCGGGACUAGUCGGUCAAACCUAACUGUGAACCGGCCGUUUUUUAAAAUUUUACCAAAAUGCCGCCGUUUGGAUUUUCCAUUUAACCCAGCAACCCUAACUCAAGUAACCCACUAACCCUUGCUCCAAGACACAACGGCGCAACACUCUCUCUCCCUCCCUCACCCUCGAGCUAGUCCUUCCUCUCACCGUCGGUGAGCUGUCUCUGUCACUUCCGUCCGGCUGCUAGAUUGCUCCUACCGCCAUCGCAAAUUGGAGCCUCGAAGAUUUCAGUUGCGAUCAUGCAGCGUCGCCAGACUCACCUCCUGUCUCCGUUGCGCACCUCUGUUCUACCGUCGCCAGCAUCAGCUCGGUUGCAUCGUCGCCGGGAUCGCCUCCUACCUCCGUCGCGAACUCUAUUCCACCAUCGCCGACGCCAUCUCUAUUCCACUGGCCAGCGCUACUCCCCCUGAAUCUGCUAUGCUCUAUUCUGUUCUGUUCUAUACUUCUAGCUUCUACGUAUUUUUUAUUUUUUUUUUAUAACAAUAAUUGUUGAAUAAGUAUUGUUAGAUAAUCUGUGAGGGUUGAAUAAUUAUUAUUAAUCUAUGAAUAAUUGCUAUUGUUACUGCCUGAUUACUUAA
This is a long non-coding RNA of Arachis stenosperma, 624 nucleotides long. RefSeq lists it as uncharacterized. The record is from RefSeq and is a predicted model, not a curated record. NCBI's taxonomy places the organism in Eukaryota, Viridiplantae, Streptophyta, Magnoliopsida, Fabales, Fabaceae. The transcript has 2 exons.